Molecule: small nuclear RNA, 106 nt
Organism: Sciurus carolinensis (gray squirrel)
Lineage: Eukaryota; Metazoa; Chordata; Mammalia; Rodentia; Sciuridae
Source: RefSeq, a predicted model, not a curated record
GUUCAAUCCCCAGUACCGCAAAAAAAAAAAAAAAAAAAAAAAAAAAAGAUUAGCAUGGCCUCUGCACAAGGACGAUGUGGAAAUUUGUGAAAUGUUCCAUAUUUUU